This 390-nucleotide ribosomal RNA is filed under the name uncultured bacterium. RNAcentral's name for it is "bacterial SSU rRNA". It matches the Rfam family "Bacterial small subunit ribosomal RNA", at positions 29 to 416 of the family's 1533-position model. The record is from RNAcentral.
AUUGAACGCUGGCGGCAUGCCUUACACAUGCAAGUCGAACGGUAACGCGGGGGCAACCCUGGCGACGAGUGGCGAACGGGUGAGUAAUACAUCGGAACGUGUCCUGUUGUUGGGGGAUAACCCAUCGAAAGGUGAGCUAAUACCGCAUGAUCUGGAGACAGCAAAGCAGGGGACCGGUAACGGCCUUGCGCGAUUGGAGCGGCCGAUGUCCGAUUAGCUAGUUGGUGGGGAAAGGCCCACCAAGGCAACGAUCGGUAGCUGGUCUGAGAGGAUGAUCAGCCACACUGGGACUGAGACACGGCCCAGACUCCUACGGGAGGCAGCAGUGGGGAAUUUUGGACAAGUGGGGGCAACCCGUGAUCCAGCCAUGCCGCGUGAGUGAAGAAGGCU